Molecule: long non-coding RNA, 565 nt
Filed under: Glycine max (soybean)
Lineage: Eukaryota; Viridiplantae; Streptophyta; Magnoliopsida; Fabales; Fabaceae
Description: long non-coding RNA (GMAX_LNC001833)
Source: RNAcentral
UGAAUAACACAUCCUGAGUAGUAUAAUUGAUUGGGGCAUAUAGUCGAACACCCUGCGUGCAUAAGUGAUGCUGUCGAACUUGGCAAAUCAAUUGUAAUUAGCAGUUAUAUAAACAACACGAGAGCAAUCAUAAAAACUUAACCAAUAAUAAUUAAAUUAUUUCACAUUCAAUCCUUUAUUAAUAUACACUAACAACGAGUGGCUUAUUAUGGUGCAUGUGGUAUAACACUGCAACUGGAAGCACCUUCUUUGUCUCCAACACCUUCCGACUCCUGCAAUGUCGCCACCCAACAUGAACUUCGGAAUUUGGAAGCGCCUCAGGCUCGGACUGACUCAUUAUCGGAACCAAAGUUACCGAAUCCUUUGGAAUUCAUGAAGUCGAAGUUGGUUCUCAUGGUCUCCGUCUCUCUCUCUUUCUCGGGAAGACCUUUGUUACUUACGGAAUUAGUAUUUCUGCUACGUGUCGUCGGAUCCGACGUCGUUUGAAUGACCAACCAGAAACCUCCUCAUCCCGACAAUGUCUUCUAUGCUCGACAGAGGAGUGUAGUGUAGGUAUUUCUCAAAC